Molecule: ribosomal RNA, 190 nt
Filed under: Serratia symbiotica
Lineage: Bacteria; Pseudomonadati; Pseudomonadota; Gammaproteobacteria; Enterobacterales; Yersiniaceae
Description: partial 23S ribosomal RNA
Rfam family: Bacterial large subunit ribosomal RNA
Source: RNAcentral
UCAUGCCAAUGGCAUUGCCCGGUAGCUAAGUGCGGAACAGAUAAGCGCUGAAAGCAUCUAAGCGCGAAACUGGCCUCUAGAUGAGUCUUCCCUGGGUCUGAGAGGUCCCUGAAGGCACGUUUAAGACGAAGACGUAGAUAGGCUGGCUGUGUAAGAGCAGUGAUGCUUUGAGCUAACCAGUACUAGUGAU